AUUAUAACUUCAAAAUCUAGAAUUGUCUCUUAUUAAUGAUUCGGAAAUAGAAAAAACUUGGUUAUGUUAUUAUUCUUCGUUGGUUCGUUUAAUGGAAAACACUUUGCUACAAGAAAUAAUGGAAAUUUUAUAACGAAUUUAAUAAUGUUUUUAUAAUUAUAUAUAAAGAAUUAAUUGCAAGAAAAAGUUAUAUACAACCUUAACUCAUAUGGGACUACCUCCUGAAUUUAUUCAUAUUAAUUAGGGGAGGAAAAGAAACUAACAAGGAUUUUCUUAGUAGCGGCGAGCCAAAAAAGAAAACAGUUUAGCACUAAGUCACUUUGUCUAUAUGGCAAAUGUGAGAUGCAGUGUAUUUAGCGUCAAUAUUCUAGUAUGAGAAAUUAACGAUUUAAUGAGGCCAUUUACCCAUAGAGGGUGCCAGGCCCGUAUAACGUUAAUGAUUACUAGAUGAUGUUUCCAAAGAGUCGUGUUGCUUGAUAGUGCAGCACUAAGUGGGUGGUAAACUCCAUCUAAAACUAAAUAUAACAAUGAGACCGAUAGUAAACAAGUACCGUGAGGGAAAGUUGAAAAGAACUCUGAAUAGAGAGUUAAACAGUACGUGAAACUGCUUAGAGGUAAACCCCGAUGAACAUGAAUAUCCGUUAUGGAAAAUUCAUCAUUAAAAUUGUAAUAUUUAUAUAAUAUUAUGAGGAUAGUGUGCAUUUUUUCCAUAUAAGUACAUUGUAAUCUAUUAGCAUAUACAAAAUGUAUCAUAAAAUAUAACUUAUAGUUAUAAUUUUAUAAUGGCAUAAUUAUCAUUGAUUUUUGUGUUUAUUAUAUGCCCUUGUAUGAUUAACAAUGCGAAAGAUUCAGGAUACCUUCGGGACCCGUCUUGAAACACGGACCAAGGAGUCUAACAUAUGUUCAAGUUAUUGGGAUAUAAACCUAAUAGCGUAACUUGACUAAUAAUGGGAUUAGUUUUUUAACUAUUUAUAGGUAAUUAAUACAAUUAUGUAUAAUGUAUAUUUAUAUUAUUUAUGCCUCUAACUGGAACGUACCUUGAGCAUAUAUGCUGUGACCCGAAAGAUGAUGAACUAUACUUGAUCAGGUUGAAGUCAGGGGAAACUCUGAUGGAAGACCGAAACAGUUCUUGCAAAUCGAUUGUCAGAAUUGAGUAUAGGGGCGAAAGACCAAUCGAACCAUCUAGUAGCUGGUUCCCUCCGAAGCUUCCCUCAGGAUAGCUGGUGCAUUUUAAUAUUAUAUAAAAUAAUCUUAUCUGGUAAAGCGAAUGAUUAGAGGCCUUAGGGUCGAAACGAUCUUAACCUAUUCCCAAAUUAACAACUCAUGCAGAUACCAUGAAAGCGUUGGUUGCUUAAAACAGCAGGACGGUGAUCAUGGCAGUCGAAAUCCGCUAAGGAGUGUGUAACAACUCACCUGCCGAAGCAACUAGCCCUUAAAAUGGAUGGCGCUUAAAUUGUAUACCUAUACAUUACCGCUAAACUAGAUGAUUUAUAUUACUUGUGAUAUAAAUUUUAAAACUUUAGUGAGUGGAAAGGUACAAUGACGCGCAUGAAUGUAUUAACGAGAUUCCUACUGUUCCUAUAUACUCACUGUCAGUGACGGAAAAUAAGCUUGUGGCAGAGCUUUUUCGCCGGCCGAAGAGCAGUAAUCCGAAGCAGUUCCGGAGCAGUCAAUGUGCCGGUAACUAGAGGUUGC
This 1695-nucleotide ribosomal RNA is filed under the name Drosophila erecta. RNAcentral describes it as "eukaryotic LSU rRNA". The stretch from base 195 to 1695 matches the Rfam family "Eukaryotic large subunit ribosomal RNA", at positions 1 to 1425 of the family's 3401-position model. Lineage: Eukaryota; Metazoa; Arthropoda; Insecta; Diptera; Drosophilidae. The record is from RNAcentral.